Molecule: ribosomal RNA, 253 nt
Filed under: uncultured bacterium
Lineage: Bacteria
Description: partial 16S ribosomal RNA
Rfam family: Bacterial small subunit ribosomal RNA
Source: RNAcentral
UACGAAGGGGGCUAGCGUUGUUCGGAAUCACUGGGCGUAAAGCGCUCGUAGGCGGAUCUUUAAGUCAGAGGUGAAAUCCCGGAGCUCAACUUCGGAACUGCCUUUGAUACUGAGGAUCUUGAGUUCGGGAGAGGUGAGUGGAACUGCGAGUGUAGAGGUGAAAUUCGUAGAUAUUCGCAAGAACACCAGUGGCGAAGGCGGCUCACUGGCCCGAUACUGACGCUGAGGCACGAAAGCGUGGGGAGCAAACAGG